GAUGAAGAACGCAGCAAAGUGCGAUAACUAGUGUGAAUUGCAUAUUCAGUGAAUCAUCGAGUCUUUGAACGCAUCUUGCACUCAUUGGUAUUCCAAUGAGUACGCCUGUUUCAGUAUCAAAAACACCCCACAUUCAAAAUCUUUUUUUUGAAUGGAAUUGAGAGUUAUUCGGUUUUACGACUGUACUCUUUAAAACUAUUAGGCCUGAACUUGUUUUGUCUGCCUGAACUUUUUUUUAAUAUAAAGGAAAGCUCUUGUCAAUUAAAACUUUAUUGGGGCCUCCCAAAAAUAAAUCUUUCUUAAACUUGAUCUGAAAUCAGGUGGGAUUACCCGCUGAACUUAAGCAUAUCAAUAAGCGGAGGA
Molecule: unclassified non-coding RNA, 363 nt
Filed under: soil metagenome
Description: partial contains 5.8S ribosomal RNA, internal transcribed spacer 2, and large subunit ribosomal RNA
Rfam family: 5.8S ribosomal RNA (bases 1-119)
Source: RNAcentral